CGCGUAGGCGGUUUUUUAAGUCAGAUGUGUAAUCCCCGAGCUUAACUUGGGAACUGCAUCUGAGACUGGAAGGCUAGAGUACUGGAGAGGGUGGUGGAAUUCCUCGUGUAGCGGUGAAAUGCGUAGAGAUGAGGAGGAACACCAGUGGCGAAGGCAGCCACCUGGACAGUAACUGACGCUGAGGCGCGAAAGUGUGGGUAGCAAACAGGAUUAGAUACCCUGGUAGUCCACGCUGUAAACGAUGAACACUUGGUGUGGAGGGAGUUGACCCCUUCCGUGCCGGAGCUAACGCGUUAAGUGUUCCGCCUGGGGAUACGGUCGCAAGGCUGAA
RNAcentral lists this ribosomal RNA (331 nucleotides) under uncultured bacterium. Its description in RNAcentral is "bacterial SSU rRNA". It matches the Rfam family "Bacterial small subunit ribosomal RNA", at positions 568 to 898 of the family's 1533-position model. The record is from RNAcentral.